Long non-coding RNA from Vespula vulgaris, 749 nucleotides. RefSeq lists it as uncharacterized. The transcript has 3 exons. The record is from RefSeq and is a predicted model, not a curated record. NCBI's taxonomy places the organism in Eukaryota, Metazoa, Arthropoda, Insecta, Hymenoptera, Vespidae.
UGUGGUGUUUCUGAAAGAAGCAAUAUCUUGGAAUGAGCUUUCCAAGGAGAAAAAUAUUUUCUUAGAUCAGAAAUAAUCUUUUUCAUUGAUCUAUCCAUAAUUACUAAUUAUUGAUUUAGACAAAAAUAUGUAUAUCGAUUAUCGAAUAGUAUUCUCAAAAAUUUCUUUAUAAAUAGUAAAAUAACUUGAAUUUUAUUUGAUACCGCAUUACUGGAUUCUACACUAGUAUUCUAUUUUCGGUGGAUCGUCAAUGUAACGAGAAGAAGAUUCACAAUUUUAUGGCAGACCAAAAAUACUACUAUGAUAUAUGAAGCCCAACAAGCGAGAGUACCGUAAUCAGUAUCCGCACUGGGAGUAUAAUCCAGUAAACUAACGAGGCCAUUAUCCCGAACUCUUGAAUUUGGGAGCGGUAGGACGUCGCCUCGCGUUCCGUUGAAGCUCCAAGAAAAUCGAAUCAACUCGUCUGGAACUGCCUCGAUUUCGCAUCUCAGGGUCACCGUUUCGUGUCGAACAGCCGCUAUUUCUCGCCUCUCAUAACCCUCUCUACAUCUUGGAGCAUCUGCACGUCAUCGAAUACGAUAUCAUUCCGAGGAAGAAACGAGAAAGAAGCGAACUUACGUCGUGAUACCAAAUGACCUUCGUCGGUGGAGGAUUGCUCUGAACGUCGCAGACCAAUUUCAGAUCAUCUCCUUCUCUCAAUGUAUUUAGAAUAUAUCCUGUUGCUAGAUGAGCCGUGAGGACCGGUGCGU